This 253-nucleotide ribosomal RNA is filed under the name uncultured bacterium. Its description in RNAcentral is "partial 16S ribosomal RNA". It matches the Rfam family "Bacterial small subunit ribosomal RNA", at positions 524 to 776 of the family's 1533-position model. The record is from RNAcentral.
UACAGAGGGUGCAAGCGUUGUUCGGAAUUAUUGGGCGUAAAGGGCGCGUAGGCGGUGCGGUAAGUCACCUGUGAAACCUCUGGGCUUAACUCAGAGCCUGCAGGCGAAACUGCCGUGCUUGAGUGUGGGAGAGGUGCGUGGAAUUCCCGGUGUAGCGGUGAAAUGCGUAGAUAUCGAGAGGAACACCGGUGGCGAAGGCGGCGAUCUGGACGAUGACUGACGCUGAGACGCGAAAGCGUGGGGAGCAAACAGG